RNAcentral lists this ribosomal RNA (428 nucleotides) under Bacteroidota bacterium. RNAcentral describes it as "Bacteroidetes bacterium partial 16S ribosomal RNA". It matches the Rfam family "Bacterial small subunit ribosomal RNA", at positions 355 to 776 of the family's 1533-position model. The record is from RNAcentral. Lineage: Bacteria; Pseudomonadati; Bacteroidota.
UAGGGAAUCUUCCGCAAUGGACGCAAGUCUGACGGAGCAACGCCGCGUGAGUGAAGAAGGAUUUCGGUUCGUAAAACUCUGUUGUUAGAGAAGAACAGCGCAUAGAGUAACUGUUAUGCGUGUGACGGUAUCUAACCAGAAAGCCACGGCUAACUACGUGCCAGCAGCCGCGGUAAUACGUAGGUCCCGAGCGUUGUCCGGAUUUAUUGGGCGUAAAGAGAGCGCAGGCGGUUAGAAAAGUCUGAAGUGAAAGGCAGUGGCUCAACCAUAGUAGGCUUUGGAAACUGUUUAACUUGAGUGAAGAAGGGGAGAGUGGAAUUCCAUGUGUAGCGGUGAAAUGCGUAGAUAUAUGGAGGAACACCGGUGGCGAAAGCGGCUCGCUGGUCUGUAACUGACGCUGAGGCUCGAAAGCGUGGGGAGCGAACAGG